Molecule: long non-coding RNA, 841 nt
Organism: Magallana angulata
Lineage: Eukaryota; Metazoa; Mollusca; Bivalvia; Ostreida; Ostreidae
Exons: 3
Source: RefSeq, a predicted model, not a curated record
AGUGUCGACAGACUGUUGAUGGAAUCGGAUGCAGACAAAACUUUGACAAACUCUCCCCCUACAACAGUUGUCCCGGUAGCAUCAUCCGCAGCUUCAGUUGCAGGCCCUUCCAAUCCAAAAUUCACUCGUGUUUUAAGGAAGAAAGGUUCCUCUAGCAAACACAAUCCUCCCACAGAGAAGAAAAGGAAACCUUUUAAAUCAUCUGAUAAAGGUAAAACAUAUUAAAUUUUCAACCUUCAUUUAAAUUAAAUUCUUACGGAAUAAAUGACACAAUAACUAUAACUGACAUUUCAACAUUUAUUAUUGAAUACGUGUGUACAUACCCAUAAAUUGGUAUUCCUUAACUUCAGUUUCUACCCAAAGAAGGAGGAAGGAUGGUGUGUGUCAUCCUCCGUCAUAUGUGGAGAAGAACCCCUUCCUGCUGGCAGAAAGAGGGAAACAUCAUCUAUGGUCAAUCCAUACUGCAAAGAUGCGUUCUCCUGGUCGUCUGACGACGACAACGAUUUCCAGUUAUGAUGGAUGGCUCCAUUUCAGAAAGCUUUUUUUCUACAUUAUUAAUAAAUAUCUAUGUUAAGAUACAAAAGAUGUUUUACUUAUCUUUUGUUGAAAUUAUGUUUCAUAUUUGAAACUUAUGCAUUAUUUCCUUACCACUAAUGACGAUGAACAUAGAUUUUGUUAGAGUUAAAUUACAAUUCUUACCUGCCUCCUCGUUUUUCUUCAACCGGAAGAAGUAGGGAUCGUUAAUGCCUGACAAUUUCCGUAACCGGAUAUUGUUAUUGUUUACGGAGAAUGUAGUAGAAUAAAAUCUUUAUCAUUUAUUUCAUAUUUAGUGAAUGAUUAC